This 233-nucleotide unclassified non-coding RNA is filed under the name plant metagenome. RNAcentral's name for it is "partial contains small subunit ribosomal RNA, internal transcribed spacer 1, and 5.8S ribosomal RNA". The record is from RNAcentral.
UUUCCGUAGGUGAACCUGCGGAAGGAUCAUUCAUAAUAAGUGUUUUAUGGCACUUUUUUAAAUCCAUAGCCACCUUGUGUGCAAUGUCAGGGUUGAUUUUUCUCUCUAGAGUAACAACUACCAUCAUAAACUAUAUCACAACUCUUUGUCUGAAAAAUCGUAUGAAUAACCCAAUUCAAGAUACAACUCUCAACAACGGAUCUCUUUGCUCCAGCCUCGAUGAAAAACGCAGG